This 497-nucleotide ribosomal RNA is filed under the name uncultured bacterium. RNAcentral's name for it is "partial 16S ribosomal RNA". It matches the Rfam family "Bacterial small subunit ribosomal RNA", at positions 28 to 506 of the family's 1533-position model. The record is from RNAcentral.
GAUGAACGCUGGCGGCGUGCCUAAUACAUGCAAGUCGAGCGAACAGACGAGGAGCUUGCUCCUCUGACGUUAGCGGCGGACGGGUGAGUAACACGUGGAUAACCUACCUAUAAGACUGGGAUAACUUCGGGAAACCGGAGCUAAUACCGGAUAAUAUAUUGAACCGCAUGGUUCAAUAGUGAAAGACGGUUUUGCUGUCACUUAUAGAUGGAUCCGCGCCGCAUUAGCUAGUUGGUAAGGUAACGGCUUACCAAGGCAACGAUGCGUAGCCGACCUGAGAGGGGGAUCAGCCCAACCGGAACAGGAACACGGGCCCAGAUCCUCAGGGAGGGCAGAGGGGGGAAAUUUUCCGAAUGGGGGGAAGCCCUGACGGAGCAACGCCGGGGGGGGGAUGAAGGGUUUCGGAUCGAAAAACCUUUUUUUGAGGGAAAAAAAAAUGUGUAAAAAACUAUGCACGUCUGGAGGGUACCAAAUAAGAAAGCCCGGCCUAAUUCGGG